Molecule: ribosomal RNA, 479 nt
Filed under: uncultured bacterium
Lineage: Bacteria
Description: bacterial SSU rRNA
Rfam family: Bacterial small subunit ribosomal RNA
Source: RNAcentral
GAUGAACGCUGGCGGCGUGCUUAACACAUGCAAGUCGAACGAAGCAUAUUUAACGGAGUUUUCGGACAAAGUUUUAUAUGACUUAGUGGCGGACGGGUGAGUAACGCGUGAGUAACCUGCCUUACACAGGGGGAUAACAGUUAGAAAUGACUGCUAAUACCGCAUAAGCGCACAGUACCGCAUGGUACGGUGUGAAAAACUCCGGUGGUAUGAGAUGGACCCGCGUCUGAUUAGCUAGUUGGUGGGGUAACGGCCUACCAAGGCAACGAUCAGUAGCCGGCCUGAGAGGGUGAACGGCCACAUUGGGACUGAGACACGGCCCAAACUCCUACGGGAGGCAGCAGUGGGGAAUAUUGCACAAUGGGGGAAACCCUGAUGCAGCGACGCCGCGUGAGUGAUGAAGUAUUUCGGUAUGUAAAGCUCUAUCAGCAGGGAAGAAAAUGACGGUACCUGACUAAGAAGCACCGGCUAAAUACGUG